GUGCAUAUGGGAAGGAAAUCGAUAUUUGGAGUGCAGGGGUAAUGUUGUAUAUUCUAUUAAGCGGUGUGCCUCCAUGUAGGGAUUGGAUGUUAGUUUGAAUUUGGGUUCCUCUUCGUUGGCUGAUGGUUCGAAAUGGACGGAUUGGAUCCUGGCGGUCAUUAUAAACAGCCGAAAGUUAAUUCCUUGGCAAUGUGAGACCUUCUUACUGUUAACUUUUUUUUUUGUUUUGAUAGGCUUUGUGAUUAUUGUUAAAAUAUGACUGAUUAAGGUUAAAAACUUAAAUGGUAUUUGACGGUUUUUUUCAAGAAUUAAUUAAUAUUUUUGGAUAAAAGAAUAUUAAUCGAUCUACCCUACACUAAACGAUAAAGACAAGGAGGCAAGAUGCUAAACCAUCUCAGUAUUGAGUUAUUUACAACCAAUCAAUUAACAUGGGUGUUUACUUGUACCAAUAAUUGUUUUAAAUGAACCAAUGGGUUGUCGUGCAUCGUAUGUUUUAGUUUUUCUUUUUCUGUUUUUUAUGGACCCAGAAAUUGCAUAAAUAGAAUGUAAUACCAGCAUCUGUAGUAGGCGGUAACAGAUCUGUUUGUUUGUCUUUCUUGAUUUGACAACAUUGGCGAGCUACUUUUGUUUAAUGUUAGGUUAUCAGCACACGGAGAGUAAAAAAACAAUGUUGACUUCCCGAAGUGGGCAAGAUAUUCGAGAAGCUCGUGAAUAUCUUUCUACACUAAGUGACCUCAGUUAAACUCAAAAUUUUGCAGAGAUUGAAAAUGUAGAGGGCCUUGUGAAUUUUGAUGAAAUUCUACAGGAAGCUGAUGGCAUUAUCCUUGCUAGAGGGAAUUUACGGAUUGACCUUCCACCAGAUAAGGUAUUUCUGUUUCAAAAAGCAGCUGUGUACAAAUGUAACAUGGCUGGGAAACCGGCUGUUGUUACUCCCGACAACUUGAGGCCCACCCGUUCUG
Molecule: long non-coding RNA, 959 nt
Organism: Helianthus annuus (common sunflower)
Lineage: Eukaryota; Viridiplantae; Streptophyta; Magnoliopsida; Asterales; Asteraceae
Exons: 4
Source: RefSeq, a predicted model, not a curated record